UCUCUGUUAGUAUAUCGGUUAGUACACGCGCCUGUCAUACCAGGUCUCUAUUAGAUUUCACCGCGCGAAAGCGGGGUUCGACUCCCCGACAGAGAG
Molecule: non-coding RNA, 96 nt
Organism: Macrolepiota fuliginosa MF-IS2
Lineage: Eukaryota; Fungi; Basidiomycota; Agaricomycetes; Agaricales; Agaricaceae
Source: the annotation of a GenBank genome assembly